RNAcentral lists this ribosomal RNA (460 nucleotides) under uncultured bacterium. RNAcentral describes it as "partial 16S ribosomal RNA". It matches the Rfam family "Bacterial small subunit ribosomal RNA", at positions 338 to 795 of the family's 1533-position model. The record is from RNAcentral.
CCUACGGGGGGCAGCAGUGAGGAAUAUUGGUCAAUGGGCGCGAGCCUGAACCAGCCAAGCCGCGUGAAGGAUGACUGCCCUACGGGUUGUAAACUUCUUUUAUAAAGGAAUAAAGUGAGGCACGUGUGCCCUUUUGUAUGUACUUUAUGAAUAAGGAUCGGCUAACUCCGUGCCAGCAGCCGCGGUAAUACGGAGGAUCCGAGCGUUAUCCGGAUUUAUUGGGUUUAAAGGGAGCGUAGAUGGGUUGUUAAGUCAGUUGUGAAAGUUUGGGGCUCAACCGUAAGAGUGCAAUUGAUACUGGCAGUCUUGAGUGCAGUUGAAGUAGGCGGAAUUCGUGGUGUAGCGGUGAAAUGCUUAGAUAUCACGAAGAACUCCGAUUGCGAAGGCAGCUUGCUGACCUGCCACUGACGUUGAUGCUCGAAAGUGUGGGUAUCAAACAGGAUUAGAUACCCGGGUAGUC